CAUCUAUUAGCAUACAAAUGUGUGCAAAUUAUCUUUUCAGAUCUUCUCAGAAAUGAAUCAAGUCCAUGGAAUGGAUAUAGACAAAAAUAUAAUUCAAGGACUAUCAGAGGUAGAGAGGCGAGGCAGGGGACUGGAGACCACAGCAGCGAUUCUGCUCUUGCCCUACCUCUUCAAUGAGGACCCGAGUGGCCUUUAUGUCCGUGACAAGAUUUCACCGCUCUUCACUCCUUUACUGCACAUCGGUGGAAAUCCAUUUCACCAUGAGAGUGAAAUCCCGCUGGCCUUUGAUGGGGAGAACAUCCAGGCCCUCGAGGACGUCCCCCAUGGGACUUGGAGCUCUGCUACGGCUGGAUGUUUUAUUUUAUGUUAAAUUUCCCCAAAAUGUCAGAAGAACACUUAUGUUGUUAAGUUACUGUGUUCUGGGGAUAAGAGAAUUUGGGGUGAAGUUAACAGGGCCGGUCAUAAAGAUGGAAAACUUCCUAACAUAACUAAGUGGAUACGAUAUACACACUAAAGCUGAAAAAUCUGUUUUUAG
Molecule: long non-coding RNA, 535 nt
Filed under: Salmo salar (Atlantic salmon)
Lineage: Eukaryota; Metazoa; Chordata; Actinopteri; Salmoniformes; Salmonidae
Description: lncRNA (ENSSSAG00000119341.1)
Source: RNAcentral